Molecule: long non-coding RNA, 593 nt
Filed under: Homo sapiens (human)
Lineage: Eukaryota; Metazoa; Chordata; Mammalia; Primates; Hominidae
Description: HSALNT0191353
Source: RNAcentral
AAAACUAACAAUACAAACAAACAAAAAAGAAUGGGGAUGCAGAUGAGAAAAAACAAGCAAUCAUCGAACAAGCCACCUCAAGGUGGAGUACCAUGGAACGUCAGAGGCUUCAUGAAAGUCAGAAAAACUGAAGAGCACUUGGGGUUAGGAAUUCAAAGGUGGGCAGCUCUUAUACAGACCUUGCCCUCAACAAACCUAUAGUCUAAUGAGAGUCGAUAAACACUUAGCAAAGUAUUAAUAAUAUCCAUGGAGUGUGUAAAGCCCUAGUAAAGGAGGUAUACUGGUGGUAAGAAAUACCUAAUUUUGUGAGGUGGGGGAAUGGAAGGAUGGGGGAAGGAUUGGGUGGUCAGGGACGCGGUUUAAGCUGAGACUUGAAAGAUGAUGGAGUAGUUGACCAGGCGGUCAGAGGAACUUGGAAGCGCUAUGAUUCGGGAUCCCACAGAGAGAGAUUCAAGGGCACCUUGGCAGAUAUGGUUUACAGUGACCUCUGGUGUGACAGAUCAUUAGCAUUGUGAACAUGCAAAAACGAUGAAGUUCUGCCCUUCAUUUCACCAGAGCUGGGCUCGCCUCAAAUUCCUGGUUCCUUAUUCCCG